Long non-coding RNA from Sinocyclocheilus rhinocerous, 344 nucleotides. RefSeq lists it as uncharacterized. The record is from RefSeq and is a predicted model, not a curated record. The transcript has 3 exons. Lineage: Eukaryota; Metazoa; Chordata; Actinopteri; Cypriniformes; Cyprinidae.
UGUGGGUCGUGUAUCUUCCUCACUCCUCUGGAAAGAUUAGUCGUGUGUGUCCAGGCAUUGUUAGUGAGUAUGUAAGUGUCAUGCGCAUGAAAGAAGUCGCCAGCUGCUGCUUUGUUGUGGCUUAUAUACCGGUUCCAGUUUUGGGACGCCGGAUUGUUGCUUGCGCACUGUUGCUUUGAACGCCUUCAGUUCGCUAUUGUCUGUACAUCGCUUGCCUUGGAGACGCAAGACCGUUGCCUCUUGUUCCGCUGCCACCUGGUGGUCGGUUGCCAGUAUAUUGAUUUGUGGUGUUCGACUGUUGCGUGUGUCUUGUUAAAUUGUGUGUGUGCGCGCGCGCGCCUUUG